Molecule: ribosomal RNA, 232 nt
Filed under: uncultured bacterium
Lineage: Bacteria
Description: partial 16S ribosomal RNA
Rfam family: Bacterial small subunit ribosomal RNA
Source: RNAcentral
UGAGUAACCUGCCCCAGACUCUGGAAUAACCCCGGGAAACCGGAGCUAAUACCGGAUACGAGACGAAGCUGCAUGGCUAUCGUCUGGAAAGUUUUUCGGUCUGGGAUGGACUCGCGACCUAUCAGCUUGUUGGUGAGGUAAUGGCUCACCAAGGCGUCGACGGGUAGCCGGCCUGAGAGGGUGACCGGCCACACUGGGACUGAGACACGGCCCAGACUCCUACGGGAGGCAG